Symphalangus syndactylus (siamang) is the source of this 894-nucleotide long non-coding RNA. RefSeq lists it as uncharacterized. The record is from RefSeq and is a predicted model, not a curated record. NCBI's taxonomy places the organism in Eukaryota, Metazoa, Chordata, Mammalia, Primates, Hylobatidae.
GGGCCAACCCGCAUUUCCUGAGUGGCUUCUGGGUGUGAAAGACCAGGAUGCAAAUGUCUGUCUCUUUCAAGGGGUAGGUGGAGGAUUAGACCAAAGGUUACAAAUUCAGGCACUUCCCUUCUCUGGAGCCUCAGUCUUCUCAUCUGUAAAAUAUGCAUGUGGGAUGUCUGUACCUCUUAGUGUUGUGAUGACCCACUUAGAACAGUGCCUGACUUCAAGAUAAAUGAUGGCUGCUGUGAUUAUAACAAAAGAAACUGUGGUGGAGAUUCAGGGAAGGCAGAAGAAGGAGUCCAGAGUAGGUAUCAGGAGGUCUGAGUUCAGGACCAGUUCGUCUCUACCACACUGUGUGGCCCUGGGCAGAAUGUUCUGCCUGUCCCUUGGUUUUUGUUUUUAGAUAUAUUGGCCAAGUAAUACACAAAUUCUUAGUGCAUUGCAGCAAUGCAGAAAGACACAAAAGAAAACACAAAGGUCACUCAUUCUCAGUGCCCUCCUCAGAGGUAACCCACUGAGGCUGGUACAGCCUUUUCUUUCUCUCUCUCUUUUUUUUUUUUUUUGUGACAGAGUCUCAUUCUGUCACCCAGGCUGGAGUGCAGUGGUGUAAUCUUGGCUCACUGCAAUCCUCCACCUCCCAGGUUCAAGCACUUCUCAUGCCUCAGCCUCCCAAGUAGCUGGAACUACAGUGCCAUGGUGAGCAUACUUGUGCACACAUGUGAGGAGGAUCUAUUUCUAGAAGGAGAACUGCUGGGUCAAAGGCUCUGUACAUUUACAAUUGACUGAUUCUGUUAAGUCAUCUUCUAAAAAAGCUUCACUGUAUUAUAUUCCCACCAAGAAUGUACAAGAAUAUGGCCUGUUUUUCUACAUGUGAAAUAAAGGGAUUGGAUUGUUUCUGUCUGA